UGGCGGGUAGGGCCGGGGGCCUCGCCCACCCCCAAACCCGAAAGGGCGCAACGCGGGGGCCAGUAACCAGGUUGUGCUGUAUAUAGAACCGAGGGAUCCUCAUCCCAGCUAUGAAGCCCGCCCUGUGGGGCUUGCGGUGGUGGAGGCCUCCUCGGAAGAGGAGGCUAAACCGCCUUCACGAGGGGAAACAGGCCAGGCCCGGAAGGGAGCAACCUAACCCUCGGCGCAAGCGUUCACAGGUCACCGGGGGGAGCGUGGGGGAGAGGGUCCACCCCUCGGUUCUAUAUACAGCACAACCUGGAUCCGCCU
Molecule: signal recognition particle RNA, 309 nt
Filed under: Desulfurococcales archaeon
Lineage: Archaea; Thermoproteati; Thermoproteota; Thermoprotei; Desulfurococcales
Description: signal recognition particle sRNA
Rfam family: Archaeal signal recognition particle RNA
Source: RNAcentral